RNAcentral lists this ribosomal RNA (484 nucleotides) under uncultured bacterium. RNAcentral describes it as "partial 16S ribosomal RNA". It matches the Rfam family "Bacterial small subunit ribosomal RNA", at positions 30 to 507 of the family's 1533-position model. The record is from RNAcentral.
AUUGAACGCUGGCGGCAGGCCUAACACAUGCAAGUCGAGCGGAUGAAGGGAGCUUGCUCCUGGAUUCAGCGGCGGACGGGUGAGUAAUGCCUAGGAAUCUGCCUGGUAGUGGGGGAUAACGUCCGGAAACGGGCGCUAAUACCGCAUACGUCCUGAGGGAGAAAGUGGGGGAUCUUCGGACCUCACGCUAUCAGAUGAGCCUAGGUCGGAUUAGCUAGUUGGUGGGGUAAAGGCCUACCAAGGCGACGAUCCGUAACUGGUCUGAGAGGACGAUCAGUCACACUGGAACUGAGACACGGCCCAGACUCCUACGGGAGGCAGCAGUGGGGAAUAUUGGACAAUGGGCGAAAGCCUGAUCCAGCCAUGCCGCGUGUGUGAAGAAGGUCUUCGGAUUGUAAAGCACUUUAAGUUGGGAGGAAGGGCAGUAAGUUAAUACCUUGCUGUUUUGACGUUACCAACAGAAUAAGCACCGGCUAACUUCGUG